Molecule: ribosomal RNA, 402 nt
Filed under: uncultured bacterium
Lineage: Bacteria
Description: bacterial SSU rRNA
Rfam family: Bacterial small subunit ribosomal RNA
Source: RNAcentral
UGGGGAAUAUUGGACAAUGGGCGAAAGCCUGAUCCAGCAAUGCCGCGUGAGUGAUGAAGGCCUUAGGGUUGUAAAGCUCUUUUACCAGGGAUGAUAAUGACAGUACCUGGGGAAUAAGCUCCGGCUAACUCCGUGCCAGCAGCCGCGGUAAUACGGAGGGAGCUAGCGUUGUUCGGAAUUACUGGGCGUAAAGCGCGCGUAGGCGGUUUAUCAAGUCAGGGGUGAAAUCCCGGGGCUCAACCCCGGAACUGCCCUUGAAACUGGUUCACUAGAAUCCUGGAGAGGCGAGUGGAAUUCCGAGUGUAGAGGUGAAAUUCGUAGAUAUUCGGAAGAACACCAGUGGCGAAGGCGACUCGCUGGACAGGUAUUGACGCUGAGGUGCGAAAGCGUGGGGAGCAAACA